GGAAAAGGAAAAGAACCAGGGGACGUUUCCUUCCUCGUGCAAUCCUACAACAUCCGGUGGGAACGGCCUCCAGUCGGAGAUGUUCCACGUUAUGGAAGGAAACAAGGGACGCGAGGCAGAGGAGGGGGCCCUGGUGACAGGCCCCGGCAGCAGGCCCCAGCAGGCCCUCCAGGUGCAGGUUAGGCAGGUGGUUUCUGCAGCUCAAACCCCGCCCCGGGGCCCUGGCCCACACUCCAGGACUCUGAGGCCCGGAGGGAACCCGCGGAGCCCAGCCCAGGAGGCCCUCCCCAAGGCCGGGGAGGAGAGAGGCCAUUUCCCCCACCAACGGAAGACGUUUUUCAGUCAAAUGAAUAAUUC
RNAcentral lists this long non-coding RNA (357 nucleotides) under Marmota monax (woodchuck). The record is from RNAcentral. Lineage: Eukaryota; Metazoa; Chordata; Mammalia; Rodentia; Sciuridae.